UACAGAGGGUGCAAGCGUUGUUCGGAAUUAUUGGGCGUAAAGCGCGUGUAGGCGGCUUUGCAAGUCGGGUGUGAAAGCCCUCAGCUUAACUGAGGAAGUGCGCCCGAAACUGCUUGGCUUGAGUACCGGAGAGGAUGGUGGAAUUCCCGAAGUAGAGGUGAAAUUCGUAGAUAUCGGGAGGAACACCGGUGGCGAAGGCGACCAUCUGGACGGAUACUGACGCUGAGACGCGAAAGCGUGGGUAGCAAACAGG
RNAcentral lists this ribosomal RNA (253 nucleotides) under uncultured bacterium. Its description in RNAcentral is "partial 16S ribosomal RNA". It matches the Rfam family "Bacterial small subunit ribosomal RNA", at positions 524 to 776 of the family's 1533-position model. The record is from RNAcentral.